This 253-nucleotide ribosomal RNA is filed under the name uncultured bacterium. RNAcentral describes it as "partial 16S ribosomal RNA". It matches the Rfam family "Bacterial small subunit ribosomal RNA", at positions 524 to 776 of the family's 1533-position model. The record is from RNAcentral.
GACAGAGGGUGCAAACGUUGCUCGGAAUCACUGGGCGUAAAGGGCGUGUAGGCGGGAAGGAAAGUCAGAUGUGAAAUCCCUGGGCUCAACCCAGGAACUGCAUUUGAAACUCCCUUUCUUGAGUGUCGGAGAGGAAAGCGGAAUUCCUGGUGUAGAGGUGAAAUUCGUAGAUAUUCGCAAGAACACCAGUGGCGAAGGCGGCUCACUGGCCCGAUACUGACGCUGAGGCACGAAAGCGUGGGGAGCAAACAGG